RNAcentral lists this ribosomal RNA (503 nucleotides) under uncultured bacterium. RNAcentral's name for it is "bacterial SSU rRNA". It matches the Rfam family "Bacterial small subunit ribosomal RNA", at positions 29 to 524 of the family's 1533-position model. The record is from RNAcentral.
AAUGAACGCUGGCGGCGCGCCUAAUACAUGCAAGUCGAGCGAGAAGACGUAGCAAUACGUUUGUAAAGCGGCGAACGGGUGAGGAAUACAUGGGUAACCUACCCUAGAGUGGGGAAUAACUAGCCGAAAGGCUAGCUAAUACCGCGUACGCUCCUUGGACUUCGGUUCAGGGAGGAAAGCGAUGCCGAGGGUAUCGCGCUCUUGGAUGGGCUCAUGUCCUAUCAGCUUGNGGUGAGGUAACGGCUCACCAAGGCUUCGACGGGUAGCUGGUCUGAGAGGACGAUCAGCCACACUGGCACUGCGACACGGGCCAGACUCCUACGGGAGGCAGCAGUAAGGAAUAUUGCGCAAUGGGCGAAAGCCUGACGCAGCGACGCCGCGUGGGGGAUGAAGGUCUUCGGAUUGUAAACCCCUUUCGGGAGGGAAGAUGGAAUGGGGUAACCCAUUCGGACGGUACCUCCAGAAGCAGCCACGGCUAACUUCGUGCCAGCCGCCGCGGUAAG